CAAAUUUUCGUGGACACUGGAUCAAAUCCAUUAAUAUGGAAUUAUAUACUUUUGGGAACUAAAUCACUAAGUCCCUAUGUUCAUACCAAUUAUGGCUUAAAUGAAUCUCUCAUCAAGACAACUCAUUAACAUGAUCAUCAAAUAGAAUUCAAUUUAUCAACAUCAAGUUGGUAAUAUGAGGACUUACACACCGCAUAAAACUAAAUUCAUAAAACUGCAAUCAUAUGCCCCCUCCGUUGCGGUUAGUACGUGGAAACAUGGCCACAACCAAAAUAUUUCCCAUUUGUGUGUCGGUUAUGUUUUGCACAUACCAAUAUCACCACCUCAACAUACAUCAUGGGCACUGGAGACCCACACAAAAGGUACUAUUAUCCGUCAUUCAUAUAAUAUCUUAGAUCUCUUGUAGGGAUUUACACAUAAGGCUGUAUGUUGAUAACACUUUGAGAACAAUUCCAGGCAUCAGAGCGAGAUUAAUACCACACAUAGAA
This 488-nucleotide long non-coding RNA is filed under the name Setaria viridis. RNAcentral's name for it is "long non-coding RNA (SVIR_LNC002860)". Lineage: Eukaryota; Viridiplantae; Streptophyta; Magnoliopsida; Poales; Poaceae. The record is from RNAcentral.